This 120-nucleotide ribosomal RNA is filed under the name Pigafetta elata. Its description in RNAcentral is "partial 18S ribosomal RNA". It matches the Rfam family "Eukaryotic small subunit ribosomal RNA", at positions 1716 to 1831 of the family's 1831-position model. The record is from RNAcentral. Lineage: Eukaryota; Viridiplantae; Streptophyta; Magnoliopsida; Arecales; Arecaceae.
CGCGGCAACGCAAGUGGUCCGCCGCCCGCGGUGUCGCGAGAAGUCCACUGAACCUUAUCAUUUAGAGUGAGGAGAAGUCAUAACAAGGUUUCUGUAGGUGAACCUACGGAAGGAUCAUUG